Long non-coding RNA from Salvelinus sp. IW2-2015, 1026 nucleotides. RefSeq lists it as uncharacterized. Lineage: Eukaryota; Metazoa; Chordata; Actinopteri; Salmoniformes; Salmonidae. The transcript has 2 exons. The record is from RefSeq and is a predicted model, not a curated record.
CUGCCCUGUUAGAGAAGGGACAAGUCCCUGAUGGACGAAGAGACAUCUCUCAUAGAACACCUGCCCUGUUAGAGAAGGGAAAAGUCCCUGAAGGACGAAGAGACAUCUCUCAUAGAACACCUGCCCUGUUAGAGAAGGGACAAGUCCCAAACCAGUGAGCGGAAAUUGACUCAGGGACCUGUGACAUCAUCGGUCACGUUAAAGAGAGACAUCACUCUGCUAAAAGCCAAAAAGACUUCUGCUGCAUCCUCACUGCCCGUACUCACACACUGAACAAAGGUCGGCUCAUGUCAGAGCUGCAAGGUAAGGUCCUUUCUGGUGUCACAAGUCAUCAGGAGACACUGGAGAAAAACCUCAACCAGAGCUGGGCUAGCUGGCUGGCUGGAGACAGACAGUCUGCUGGGAGAGAGGCACUAAGUCUAAUAUUAGAUGCACUACACUGUAAAUGUCAUGGGAGAUCUGUAUUACAUCCAUAACUGUCUUGCUCACGUCUUGUUUUGACUGAGUUGAAUUCAACGAAGCAAUGCUACACAUACUGUAAAUCACAGCACUUUAUAGAACUCGGUUGCGUCAUGGAAAGAUGUUCCUUAUUUUUCUACGGUCUACAAAUAAAGACUGUUGUCAAUAUGUGGGCUGUUGUUUCCAUAUGAUCUGUCUUCAUAUCCUCCAGGAACAAAUGAAAACUGUUUCAAAGUGGGGAAAAACCUAAAUGAUGAUCUACUGUUAUCUGUCUACCAGUACAAUUYUAUCAAACCCAGAGCUAUCCCAUUUCUUCCUGUUGUGACAUCAUACUGUUUCAGCUGAGAGAGACACUUCCUGACUGAUAAAGUGACUGUGUAUCAACCAAUGAUGAACAAGAGACUGGGAGAGAGAGAGAACUAUGGGUGACUCAGUGUUGCCUAAUGAGGAUUUUUAGAAUUGUUUAUACUGUGGAAUGUUCAGAGUGAGAAAUAUUCUGAUGAUAAGAGUGCUGACGUUAGUUUCUUACCCUACUUCCUCAUAYAAAUCGGUGACCUGGCAAAUGAA